GAGCAAAAGGAGGGGGCAAGUAUUCAAGUAAUAGUCCUCACCUACGGAUGAACGUAGGUAGACGAGGAAUUACACUUAGCCUCAGUCGCAGAAAGGCGAGCAAAAGGAGGGGGCAAGUAUUCAAAUAAUAGUCCUCACCCACGGAUGAACGCGGGUAGACGAGGAAGUACACUCAGCCCCUACCGCAGAAAGGCGGAUAAAAGGAGGGGGUCGGGUACUCUCAAAAACCCGCCACAGGGAAGAGAACCCAAGCAGUGCUCAAGGACAGCUCAGGCAAGGCGUCAAGGUGGGCAAGCAGGGUUCCGCGGGAGAAAUCGGGCCAGACAGGUGUGCAAGGAGUAGGCUUCGGCUAGGACAAACCGGACAAUAGUUGGCAAAAGCGCGUGACAAACCUCCGUGGAAGCAUAGAUACAACCUCGCAGGCGUGGAGGGGGGGGAGUACUGGUGAGAGAGGAUCGUACAACCAGGGACAUCACCAGAAAUCCACAUCCCAGCACGCAAAGAGGGGGGGAAUACUGAUAGUACAGGGUCCGACACACAGACCAUAGUACUAAAAGACGUAUCCCAAAGUAC
RNAcentral lists this long non-coding RNA (573 nucleotides) under Zostera marina. RNAcentral describes it as "long non-coding RNA (ZMAR_LNC004104)". The record is from RNAcentral. Lineage: Eukaryota; Viridiplantae; Streptophyta; Magnoliopsida; Alismatales; Zosteraceae.